Psammomys obesus (fat sand rat) is the source of this 1335-nucleotide long non-coding RNA. RefSeq lists it as uncharacterized. NCBI's taxonomy places the organism in Eukaryota, Metazoa, Chordata, Mammalia, Rodentia, Muridae. The record is from RefSeq and is a predicted model, not a curated record. The transcript has 4 exons.
GUGAGCUUCUCAGACUGAAGAUGGCAGAAAUCCAACAGCGAAGAGGAGAGGAGGCGGGAUCCGCCUUCUAGUCUUGCACAAUGUUCCCCUCUCUGCUGGCCCUUCCACCUUGUCUGGGUGCCACAGACCCUCCCCAGGCAGGGUCAUGGUCCUUCCGGUAGAGUUUGAUCAAUCUUAGGCCACCCACAGGAGUGUGAGAUGAUCCUGGCCUCAAAAUUUUCCAACACUGAGCGGUGUGUGAGCUGGCAGAAGGGGUAAAAAUCGAAGGUUAUGUGAUUAAAAUUCAGGGUCUUGGCGUGCUUCUUGCUCUGGUGCUGAAAUGGAGUUGGCAGAAGGUUGUGCCCAGAGAUUUGUUUCCAUGGAGACCUGACAUCCCAUAAAGACAAUCGAGAUCAGCUGCUACAAUGAGGUUCAGACAAGACAUACCAAGACAUACCUUCUCUCACGUUGGAGAGAAGGGACAGGGAGGAUGCGCAGGGUUAGCAAGAGCACUGAAUGAAGACGGCACUGACUCACCAAAUUCAACUGGCAGAAAGCAUGAGGCCGUAUCAUCUCAUACUCCUGUGGGUGGCCUAAGAUUGCUCAAACUGCAAUUGGAAGGUCAAGAAAAACAAUUAGAGGCCCCUCCCCAAGGGCUGCAGUAGGGACAGCUUCCCUGAAGAUGUGUGUUAAUGGGAGCAUCCUAACUCCUGGGGAUGGUAAAGAGCAUGCAGAAGUCCAUGAUUCCUGAAGGUUGUAGUGCAGACCUAGGCUACUUUUCCUGAAGGACAACUGAGAGAGGAGCUCAAAAGGCAGAAGAGUACAGGACUCACCAUCACCUUCACCUUUUACUUUGAACAGCAAAGUGCUUGCCCUAGGCUUGUCCCCAUGCUGGGAUACCUGGCCCCAGGGGCCACACUUGAAGGACUGCAACGAGAUGCCAGGCUGCAUCUGAGCCCUGAGUAGAUGCAGGUUUUGGGUAUGAAUGGAUUUGGCUCUUGCUCUUGCCUUUGAGGUCCUCUCUGUCAUUUCUUCUGGAGGGCAGUCCUGGACUGCAACUGCGAACUGCAGUUGAUGGGUUUUAGAGGAAGUGAGGAGGGGUGAAUAUUUGUUUUCUGAGUGAAUGUUUCCCAUGCUGGCUUUGACUUGGGCAACUUCCUGCUUCUGCCUCCCAAGUGUGGGAUUAUGGUUCCCUUCAUAGUGCCCAGAUCCAUGAGUUGGUUCUGCAUGUGGGGGAAAUGUGAAUGACUGUGGCUGGCACACAGGCCAUGGCAGUUUUACAAACUCCUUCCUUAGGGCCUGUGGAGUCUCAUUUCUUCCCGUAUGGGCUGGAUAUACGGACUUGUUUUAAACAAA